This 975-nucleotide long non-coding RNA is filed under the name Mytilus galloprovincialis (Mediterranean mussel). Lineage: Eukaryota; Metazoa; Mollusca; Bivalvia; Mytilida; Mytilidae. The record is from RNAcentral.
AAAAAAAUAAAAAAAAAAUAUAAUGAAAAUAAUUAAAAACCAAUUGUUCAAAGAACAAUUGAAGGUCUUUCAACCAAUAAGGAUGUAUUUUGAUAUGAAAAUAUUAAGAUUCAGUUGAAAAUGUCAGUUCCUAUGGCUUUAUGAUGUAUAAAUAUGAAUUUCGAGCAAAGGUCAAAAUCUAGAACGUCCAAAUAACCUAUGACCUUGACCUCAAUUUCAAGGUCAUAAACAUAGAAUCCCAAAUCAAAAGACCCCAGAUCUGUAUUAUGUAUGGUUCAUGAGUAAUAUCACUUUACGCAUAAUUCUAAAUAUAAGAGGGGCAAAAACUCCCAUUUAUUGUCUACGCACCCUUCCAAUCAAAAUUUAUAAGUUACGUCAUGUCGCAACUAACAAUUUAGUAAAAAUAUUUUGUCGAAAUCUUAUAAAGUAAUUGAAAAUAAGUAAAAAUAAGCAAAAAUCAAAAUUUAGAAUUUGACCUUGACCUUUGACCUUGACCUAAUUUUCAUUUUUUUGGACCAAGGAUCUUAAAUCUAAAGACCCUAGGUCUCUAUCACUUAUGGUUUACCAGUUAGAAAUGCAAAUCACUUAUAUCAUAUAUAAAAGGGGGGAUAACUCUCAUAUGGAGUCUCCAGAUAGCUUCGGUCAAAAUAAAACAGAUCAUCCUGAGGAUAUAACGAGCAAUUUGGAAAAAUAAAUUUGUCGCUUUCUUUUACGGUUGCGAAGCCUUAGUGGCCACAAGAAAAACAGUGUUCGGGGAGAUAACUCUUACAAGGUAAAGGUUUUUGUUACGCGGUGUCAGUUUCAGAAGCGCAUUAACUGUUCGAUAUCAUAUACCAUAUAUCUAAGCGACAUCUUGUGAAACAAAAAAACAGCGAAGGAAAAAAAAGUUGGCGGAAGAAAAAAAAAAAAAAUAAUAAUAAUAAUUAAAAACCAAUUGUUCAGAGAACAAUUGAAGGUCUUUCCACUAGUAAAGAU